Molecule: ribosomal RNA, 376 nt
Filed under: uncultured Gammaproteobacteria bacterium
Lineage: Bacteria; Pseudomonadati; Pseudomonadota; Gammaproteobacteria
Description: bacterial SSU rRNA
Rfam family: Bacterial small subunit ribosomal RNA
Source: RNAcentral
UAAUACGGAAGGUGCAAGCGUUAAUCGGAAUUACUGGGCGUAAAGCGCGCGUAGGUGGUUUGUUAAGUUGGAUGUGAAAGCCCUGGGCUCAACCUAGGAACUGCAUCCAAAACUGACUGACUAGAGUACGAUAGAGGGAGGUAGAAUUCAUAGUGUAGCGGUGGAAUGCGUAGAUAUUAUGAAGAAUACCAGUGGCGAAGGCGGCCUCCUGGAUCUGUACUGACACUGAGGUGCGAAAGCGUGGGUAGCGAACAGGAUUAGAUACCCUGGUAGUCCACGCCGUAAACGAUGACAACUAGCUGUUGGGAGGCAAUGCCUUUCAGUGGCGCAGCUAACGUUUUAAGUUGUCCGCCUGGGGAGUACGGCCGCAAGGCUA